RNAcentral lists this ribosomal RNA (777 nucleotides) under Kocuria gwangalliensis. RNAcentral's name for it is "bacterial SSU rRNA". It matches the Rfam family "Bacterial small subunit ribosomal RNA", at positions 61 to 839 of the family's 1533-position model. Lineage: Bacteria; Bacillati; Actinomycetota; Actinomycetes; Micrococcales; Micrococcaceae. The record is from RNAcentral.
GUCGAACGCUGAAGCUUGGGUGUUUUUCAUCUGGGUGGAUGAGUGGCGAACGGGUGAGUAAUACGUGAGUAACCUGCCCUUGACUCUGGGAUAAGCCUGGGAAACUGGGUCUAAUACUGGAUACUACGUGCCCUCGCAUGGGGGUGUGUGGAAAGGGUUUUACUGGUUUUGGAUGGGCUCACGGCCUAUCAGCUUGUUGGUGGGGUAAUGGCCUACCAAGGCGACGACGGGUAGCCGGCCUGAGAGGGUGACCGGCCACACUGGGACUGAGACACGGCCCAGACUCCUACGGGAGGCAGCAGUGGGGAAUAUUGCACAAUGGGCGAAAGCCUGAUGCAGCGACGCCGCGUGAGGGAUGACGGCCUUCGGGUUGUAAACCUCUUUCAGCACGGAAGAAGCGAAAGUGACGGUACGUGCAGAAGAAGCGCCGGCUAACUACGUGCCAGCAGCCGCGGUAAUACGUAGGGCGCAAGCGUUGUCCGGAAUUAUUGGGCGUAAAGAGCUCGUAGGCGGUUUGUCGCGUCUGCUGUGAAAGCCCGGGGCUUAACCCCGUGGUGUGCAGUGGGUACGGGCAGACUAGAGUGCAGUAGGGGAGACUGGAAUUCCUGGUGUAGCGGUGAAAUGCGCAGAUAUCAGGAGGAACACCGAUGGCGAAGGCAGGUCUCUGGGCUGUUACUGACGCUGAGGAGCGAAAGCAUGGGGAGCGAACAGGAUUAGAUACCCUGGUAGUCCAUGCCGUAAACGUUGGGCACUAGGUGUGGGGGACAUUCCACGUUU